GGCGUGCGGUAGGCCUUGGUCUUGCGGCGCCCUUUGGGCUCCUUCUGCGGUUGGAAAAGAGGCAUCAACCUGCUCCGCUCAGCUUGCUGGUUCUGUGGAUUAUUUAGUUGGAUUGGCUUUGGUUUUGCCAGGAUCGGGUGGAUUUGAUUCAAGUUUGGAGGAGCUCAAGCAAAUGGCGUCUGGUUAGGUCUGCAUGCAGGCUCUGCC
Molecule: non-coding RNA, 207 nt
Organism: Pelobates cultripes (western spadefoot toad)
Lineage: Eukaryota; Metazoa; Chordata; Amphibia; Anura; Pelobatidae
Source: the annotation of a GenBank genome assembly